Molecule: small nuclear RNA, 91 nt
Filed under: Castor canadensis (American beaver)
Lineage: Eukaryota; Metazoa; Chordata; Mammalia; Rodentia; Castoridae
Source: RNAcentral
AUGCUUGCUUCGGCAGCAUAUAUAUUAAAAUUGGAAUGAUACAGAGAUUAGCAUAGCCCCGGCACAAGGAUGACAUGUAAAAAUGUUCUUU